This 300-nucleotide unclassified non-coding RNA is filed under the name uncultured Laetisaria. Its description in RNAcentral is "sequence contains 5.8S rRNA gene, ITS2". The stretch from base 1 to 71 matches the Rfam family "5.8S ribosomal RNA", at positions 84 to 154 of the family's 154-position model. Lineage: Eukaryota; Fungi; Basidiomycota; Agaricomycetes; Corticiales; Corticiaceae. The record is from RNAcentral.
GUGAAUCAUCGAAUCUUUGAACGCACCUUGCGCUCCUUGGUAUUCCGAGGAGCAUGCCUGUUUGAGUGUCAUGAAUCUCUCAAACUCUUAGUUUCAUUACUGAGUGUUUGGAUUUGGAGGUCUAUGCUGGCGCAAGUCAGCUCCUCUUAAAUACAUUAGCUUGGGUCUUGCAUGUCUGGAUCCUUGGUGUGAUAAUUAUCUACGCCAUGAUGUCCCUUCAAGCCCUGCUUCUAAUCGUCUGAAUAAGACAAUUUAUUACUUGACAUCUGACCUCAAAUCAGGUAGGACUACCCGCUGAAC